UAAGCUCCAAACUCUUCGAUUUUGGCCAGGCACGGUACUCCACUCCAUAGCUGGCGUUGUCGAUUCGUAUCCGUGAUUAUGAGCCCGAAAAAUACGGACGUCAUUACGGUCGAUCUCUAGCUUGCGUUGUCGAUUCUUAUUCAGCUAGAUUAAGCGCCGCAGAGAAACACAAACAGCACGCAGCAGCCCCAACGUACGCCCCCAGCUUCCUCGCAUCUCUUCUCACUCGCUGGCCGAUUCCGGCCGGCUCCGGCAAGAUCUCGCGCUGCUGAGCCCCUCGCCAGCACCACAUCCUCCAUCCCAACCGAAUGCAUGGCGUAGAACCGUGAUCUACCGCCCCCGACGAACCCUAGCCCGGGCGCUCGAAUCCGGCUACCCAACUCCCGAUGCCCGGCAGGAACGCCGCCCUGGAGCCCCUCCUGCGCAUCCCCUCCUCCGGUGGGAACGAGCAUCGCGAGGCAACAAUGCGGCUCGGCGACGGCCGCGGCCGGCGAGAGGAGCGGGCCCGGCAGAAGCUCGACGCGGCGCAUGACUGGGACGGCGACGGUCCCCGACCUCCUGCCAGCGGCACCACCCGAACAUGCGGCUGACGGCCACCUCCCCAACAACUACUGCCGGAGCCACAUUGAUCCGGUGACGUCGGUGCGGAGCGGCAUGUUACCAGUGAGGCCCGUGUGUAGCAGCGGGACAAUGGGGAGGUCCUCAUGUCACUGGCACCACCAUCCAAGAAGAGCUCGAAGAAGCUGAAGAACCUGUUGCAAACAAUAAGCCAGUCAAACUUCAAUGUCGAUGAGAUAAUGACAGUGGCAAAGACCCAAAAAGAAAACCAUUGAGUCAAAUCAGUUGUGAAGCUCGUAAGUAUAUUUUUCAUCGUACAUCAAGAUGUCCUUUUGUUAGGUCUGAUUCAGCAGCAAGUGGAUAUUCUCCAAGGGAGCAAAUCUGCGAGUCCUUAUUUUUUACCUGUCCUUUCAUCAUCAAGUCUUUGUACUGAAUCAGUUCAUUGAAUAUUAUAAGCUAAUUACUUUUAUUUGGUUUAGUCUUCCAGUGGAAAAUUGCAACAAUACAUGGAGGGAAUCUCGGUCUACCUGACCUCAACUUCUCUCCGGCCAAUCCCUAUUCCUCCAUCAACUUAUACGUACUUGUCUUCAAUCCUCUGUGCUCACGCCUGGGAGAUCCCUUCUGCUCUAAUUUGGAGCAGGUCCAGGAGGACGAUCAUGGGGAAGAUGGGGAAACAACAUGUUCACGAGGAGCCGCUGGCUAGCAUGUUCACGAGGAGCUGCUGACUAGCAUGUUCACGAGGAGCCGCUGAUGUUGUUGUUCGACUCCAUUCCAAACUGCGGAGCUGCUAGGAGUGGACGACGCAUAAGGGAACAUCCUGGCCACCAUGAGUAGGCCAGUUUGAUCUCAACCGCCAGAUUGGAGGUGUGACUGGUGGAACUCUGUAGUGAGGUGAUAAGAUGAAGUGGAAAAUUGUGGUGAGGCAACUAUUGAAACUGUAAGAUUGAUAGCACAUCAUGUCAUGCUCCAUUUUUGCCGGCUAAAUUUUGGUGAGGGAACUCUGUUGUGACUCAUUAGUAAUUCAUGCUCCAUUUUUGCUGGCUAAAUUGUGGUGAGGCAACUAUUAAAAAUUGUGGUUAGGGAACUCUGUUGUGACUAAAUUUUGCUUUUCUUUUAGCAUAAUAUUGCACUCUGAUGAUGAUUAUAUUGUCAUGUCAAUGAUCCCAGGACUCUAGGUACAAGGCCACUAAUUUCGUACCUGGUGGCUCACACUCUAACUUGCUCAUGCUUGGGUUUACGAAAAUUCUUACAUUUAAUUGAUUUGGAAUUUCUGAGUGAACUUAUCACUUGCCUUAAGAAGCUUCCUGGGUAUACAAACCAUCGAGGCGAACUUAUCUCUUUGUCAGAACGUCUGCAAUGUUGCAUAGUUUCUUUUUAAGUCAGGAGGAUCAGUUUUGAUGCUUUGUAUGUAGACCUGCAGGGCUACUUUGUGUAACUUUUUAAGGUAUUUACAUGACAGGUUUGGAAAUCAUCCAUAUGGUUAAUGGUGCCAAAUUAAUGGUUGCACACUUGCGCUAAAUCCUAUACAGUUUUGCACCAUAAAUCUCAUGCAACAGUCAAAACUUAUCCAAUCAACUUGUAUGUAUUUAGAUGAUUGAGUCUUUAGCCAGACAUACUUCCUUCAACUUCUAUGUAUUUAGACGGCCAAACAUGUUUUUGUUUCCUCCAAGAUGCUAUUGCACGAGGAGAUAAGGAUUCACCUCUGAUGACUCCGCCGCCGGGCCCAUGAUUCCUCUGAUGCCGCCGGAGAGGGUGCCCCUAUCCUCCCCGUUGCCGCCGGCAUCCUGCUGCUAGGCCAGGUUAUGGACUUUCUUGAGCACGAGGUGGCCAGAAGGGACAAGUGCAAAGUUUCUUGAUGUGCUUCACUGUCCUUUAGUAAAGUCAAUAUUUGUUUGCAUUUCAAUCACAAACUGGAUCAAGUUUCUCCUAUACUACGUGUGUCCAUUGGCUGCUCUUGAUGUUAGCUUUAUCUAAGUACAGAAUCUGAUGUGACAUGCAAAGCAGAGCAAACUUGUGUAUUGUGGGGUUAUUUAUCCUCAGAUCCGUAGGUUGUGUCCUCCUCUUAUAUUAACACUUUUGUUGUAUAUUUGCAUGAUAAGAUAAUGCAGUGCCCACAAGCUGAGUUCAUGGAUAAAUGGAGUUUUUUUUCAUGUGGUUCUUUGUCUAGAAGCUUGUUCUUAGAUCUUGUUCAGUACUUAGCUUCCUUAAGUAUGUACUAGUGAUUUCCUUAUUUUGUUAGUAUUAUUGGACUUGCCAGUUUCUCUAGAACGGAAGUAUACAAGGUGCUUCCAUGUGUUUGUAGUUACAUAUGCUCAAUGACAAUUAGCUAAAGUUAUUCACGAUUCUUACUUCUAUAUGUGCAGUUGGAGAGGGAUCAAAGGCGGAGUGGACAACCCCAGUGACGAGAUGGCUUAGAUCCAGGGAAGUAAUAGAAGUUAACCAUUUUGGACUACUUCAUCUUUUAUAGUCUAUAGAGUGAUGUACUAAAAUACCUGCUGGAGUCUACAUUUUUCUUCAUGUCAUCAACUUUUAUAGCUGGCAGCUCCUACAAGACCUGGUACUCUACUUGUCGCAGAUCAGCUUUGACUACUUCAUGCACAAAAUUAACCAUGCCUUAACCACGUCCACGGUGGCCUCUUCAUCCUCUCCACGGUUUAGGCUACCUGCAAAUGGAAGAUACACCUUCAGAUUUGAGCACCCAUGGGAGGCGACCACAUCGCUGUUCUCGCUGGCACCGACACCGCCAUGGUCGAGCCUCUUGGCCACAUGGACCAGCAAGCUGAUAGGCUUGCGAUCAAGUGAUUGAACCUGUGCACAAGAAGGCGUUUUGGCUGGUGAAAAUCUGCGAGGAAGAUGGAGAUGCCUGAUACUGUAUGCAUGGUGUAUUAUUAAUUUGUGUAGUCGUUUUUGGAUGUUGAUGGGUUGAAGAGCAAGUCUAGUUAGCUAGAUGUGCACUUUCUUCGCUAAUUGACAUAUUAUCUGUUUACAUGUUCAUAUAUAUACAUAUAAGACAGAUGAAUAUGACAUUUGAGCAUGAUGCAUGUAUGUAUGAAUGAUUAUGUUUUAUGCAUGUUUGUGUGCAUGGGUUUUGAACCUGCUUAUUUUGAUCACAAAA
Long non-coding RNA from Lolium perenne, 3673 nucleotides. RefSeq lists it as uncharacterized. The record is from RefSeq and is a predicted model, not a curated record. NCBI's taxonomy places the organism in Eukaryota, Viridiplantae, Streptophyta, Magnoliopsida, Poales, Poaceae.